This is a long non-coding RNA of Cornus florida, 1176 nucleotides long. RefSeq lists it as uncharacterized. The record is from RefSeq and is a predicted model, not a curated record. Lineage: Eukaryota; Viridiplantae; Streptophyta; Magnoliopsida; Cornales; Cornaceae. The transcript has 3 exons.
UUGCCACAAAUCUGAGAAGCAAACCGAGAUCAACCCUCCCUAGGGCAAUUCGGAGGCGAUUCUACUGUGCACCGAGCUUCAGAUGGUAAUUUUUUCCUAUUUCGUCUUCGUUCUUUUGCUUGGAUCUAAUCCUCUAAGCCCAAAUUUCGCGAGUUUCACCUUCACAGGCAAAAUAACCCAGGUACGUGUGUGUGUGUAUAUAUAUCUGUGUGUGUGUGUGUGUGUGGUUCAUCUCUGUUCUUCUCUGAACUCUCGUCUUUCUUCUCCUCUCUUCCUUUUCUGAGCUCUAACACAGGUUCCCCUCUAGCGCAAAUUGAUCUUUUGAUCAAAUUCACUACCCGAUCCCUAAUAAAAAAACAAAAAAAUUCACUAUCCUUCUUCCUCCUAAUCUCUCCUCAGUUUUCGCCUCUUUUUAUCUAAAAAACCCUAGAUUUAUCUUUGUUAGAUGUGCCCUCGUCUAACAAGUUUGGUGCAAAAUCGGCCGGUCUGUUAACCUGAGCCCAAGAGGCACCUAUUGGUCUCGUUAGGUCUGAGGCUUUUCAUCUGAAUCUGCCCGGGUAGUCAGCCAAACCCAUCAACACCACCUUGAACCAUCAACAUCAUCCACUUAGCUUACCUUGUUGAUCCGUGUUCAAAUGCUAUCUCGUGAGGCGAAAGGAUGGGAUUGGGGCUCAUAAACUAGAUUACCCUUGUUCAGACUCCCUAAGAUACGAAGAAGCGAAGUGUUUAAAAGUAUCACAGCCAUCACAGAACCUGUUAUUUUCUCCAUCAACAAUAGAUUGAAGCCCUUAAAUCUCUGUAUCCAAGCGAAGCUGACAAGCAUUUGUUGUCUCGGCAGACUGGUUUGUCCAAAUAUCAGGUGUACUGGACAGUGAGUACAACAAUGAGAAAAUCAUGGGUGAUAUGAUGCCAAGUCCUGAAAAAGGCCUUCCAAUUUGCCUUCAUCGACGCUAUAUAUAUGAUUGGUUUACAAGUUGAGGUUUAGGAAAUAGAUAUAUACCAUAUACUCCUUCAGUCCUUCUGUAAUUGCCAUAUAAACAAAUAUAUAUAUAUUAUUUUUCCUUCUGUAAUUUUUAUUGCAAUAACUUCAUAAUUUUUAUUGCAAUGUUUUAGUGUAGUAUAUUGUAAAUGUUCAACAAGAAAUUUGAAACUUUUAUUUCAGGAAACUGAUGGUAA